RNAcentral lists this ribosomal RNA (433 nucleotides) under uncultured bacterium. RNAcentral describes it as "partial 16S ribosomal RNA". It matches the Rfam family "Bacterial small subunit ribosomal RNA", at positions 29 to 507 of the family's 1533-position model. The record is from RNAcentral.
AAUGAACGCUGGCGGCAUGCCUAACACAUGCAAGUCGAACGAAGGCUUCGGCCUUAGUGGCGCACGGGUGCGUAACGCGUGGGAAUCUGCCCUUGGGUUCGGAAUAACAGUUAGAAAUGACUGCUAAUACCGGAUGAUGUCGUAAGACCAAAGAUUUAUCGCCCAAGGAUGAGCCCGCGUAGGAUUAGCUAGUUGGUGGGGUAAAGGCCUACCAAGGCGACGAUCCUUAGCUGGUCUGAGAGGGUGAUCAGCCACACUGGGACUGAGACACGGCCCAGACUCCUACGGGAGGCAGCAGUGGGGAAUAUUGGACAAUGGGCGAAAGCCUGAUCCAGCAAUGCCGCGUGAGUGAUGAAGGCCUUAGGGUUGUAAAGCUCUUUUACCCGGGAUGAUAAUGACAGUACCGGGAGAAUAAGCUCCGGCUAACUUCGUG